RNAcentral lists this ribosomal RNA (197 nucleotides) under uncultured Lactobacillus sp. Its description in RNAcentral is "partial 16S ribosomal RNA". It matches the Rfam family "Bacterial small subunit ribosomal RNA", at positions 335 to 524 of the family's 1533-position model. The record is from RNAcentral. Lineage: Bacteria; Bacillati; Bacillota; Bacilli; Lactobacillales; Lactobacillaceae.
ACUCCUACGGGAGGCAGCAGUGGGGAAUAUUGCACAAUGGGCGAAAGCCUGAUGGAGCAACGCCGCGUGGGUGAAGAAGGUCUUCGGAUCGUAAAACCCUGUUGUUAGAGAAGAAAGUGCGUGAGAGUAACUGUUCACGUUUCGACGGUAUCUAACCAGAAAGCCACGGCUAACUACGUGCCAGCAGCCGCGGUAAU